GAACUUAAGCAUACCAAUGAGCGGAGGAAAAGAAACUAACAAGGAUUCCCCUAGUAACUGCGAGUGAAGCGGGAAGAGCUCAAAUUUAAAAUCUGGCAGCUGAUGGGCUUGUCCGAGUUGUAAUCUAGAGAAGUGUCUUCCGCGCUGGGACCGUGUACAAGUCUCUUGGAAUGGAGCAUCAUAGAGGGUGAGAAUCCCGUCUCUGACACGGAAUUUACCGGUGCUUUUGUGAUGCGCUCUCGAAGAGUCGAGUUGUUUGGGAAUGCAGCUCAAAAUGGGUGGUAAAUUCCAUCUAAAGCUAAAUACAGGCGAGAGACCGAUAGCGAACAAGUACCGUGAGGGAAAGAUGAAAAGGACUUUGAAAAGAGAGUUAAACAUUACGUGAAAUUGUUGAAAGGGAAACGAUUCAGGUCAGUCGCAUUAGCCAGUAAUCAACCCUCGCAAUUAACCUUGCUGGGCUUACUUUCUGGUUGAUGGGUCAGCAUCAAUUUUGACCGUCAGAGAAAGGCUUUGCGGGGAAUGUGACAUCUUCGGAUGUGUUAUAGCCCCAACUCGCAUGUGAUGGUCGGGAUUGAGGAACUCAGCACGCCUUUACAGGUCAGGGCCGCCAGAAUGGCCCAUGUAAACGUAGCUUAGGAUGCUGGCAUAAUGGCUUGAACCGACCCGUCUUGAAACACGGACCAAGGAGUCUAACAUGCCUGCGAGUGUUUGGGUGGAAAACCCGAGCGCGAAGUGAAAGUGAACUUGGUUGAGAUCCCUGUCGUGGGGAGCACCGACGCCCGGACCAGACCUUCUGUGACGGAUCUGCGGUAGAGCAUGCAUGUUGGGACCCGAAA
Molecule: ribosomal RNA, 836 nt
Filed under: uncultured fungus
Lineage: Eukaryota; Fungi
Description: eukaryotic LSU rRNA
Rfam family: Eukaryotic large subunit ribosomal RNA
Source: RNAcentral